This 998-nucleotide ribosomal RNA is filed under the name Xylaria grammica. Its description in RNAcentral is "partial large subunit ribosomal RNA". It matches the Rfam family "Eukaryotic large subunit ribosomal RNA", at positions 92 to 1116 of the family's 3401-position model. The record is from RNAcentral. Lineage: Eukaryota; Fungi; Ascomycota; Sordariomycetes; Xylariales; Xylariaceae.
AGUGAAGCGGCAACAGCUCAAAUUUGAAAUCUGGCCUUCGGGUCCGAGUUGUAAUUUGUAGAGGAUGCUUUUGGCGCGGUGCUUUCCGAGUUCCCUGGAACGGGACGCCUUAGAGGGUGAGAGCCCCGUACGGUUGGACACCAAGCCUCUGUAAAGCUCCUUCGACGAGUCGAGUAGUUUGGGAAUGCUGCUCUAAAUGGGAGGUAAAUUUCUUCUAAAGCUAAAUAUUGGCCAGAGACCGAUAGCGCACAAGUAGAGUGAUCGAAAGAUGAAAAGCACUUUGAAAAGAGGGUUAAAUAGCACGUGAAAUUGUUGAAAGGGAAGCGUUUGCGACCAGACCUUUUCCUAGCGGAUCAUCCGGUGUUUUCACCGGUGCACUUCGCUAUGUUGAGGCCAGCAUCGGUUUCGGUAGGGGGAUAAAAGCUUGGGGAACGUAGCUCCCUCGGGAGUGUUAUAGCCCCUCGCAUAAUACCCUUACGGGGACCGAGGACCGCGCUUUUUGCAAGGAUGCUGGCGUAAUGGUCGUCAACGACCCGUCUUGAAACACGGACCAAGGAGUCGAACAUUUAUGCGAGUGUUAGGGUGUUAAACCCUCACGCGUAAUGAAAGUGAACGGAGGUGAGAGCCCUUACGGGUGCAUCAUCGACCGAUCCUGAUGUCUUCGGAUGGAUUUGAGUAAGAGCAUAACUGUUCGGACCCGAAAGAUGGUGAACUAUGCGUGGAUAGGGUGAAGCCAGAGGAAACUCUGGUGGAGGCUCGCAGCGGUUCUGACGUGCAAAUCGAUCGUCAAAUCUGCGCAUGGGGGCGAAAGACUUAUCGAACCAUCUAGUAGCUGGUUACCGCCGAAGUUUCCCUCAGGAUAGCAGUGUUGUUCUUCAGUUUUAUGAGGUAAAGCGAAUGAUUAGGGACUCGGGGGCGCUUUUUAGCCUUCAUCCAUUCUCAAACUUUAAAUAUGUAAGAAGCCCUUGUUGCUUAGUUGAACGUGGGCAUUCGAAUGU